AGACUUCAACAUGUGUGGCCCAAACUAGAAAAGAAACAAAAAAGACACUGGUUCAUGUAACAGUAAUGAUAUGCCCCGCUCCCAAUCAUGGAUCAAAGGCGCACACAGCUGAAUGUGUUGCAGCGUGCAGCAGUGAACUACCAGGCUGUACUUGGAGAGAACUCUGCCCAGUACUCACCAACACUCUUUCUGAGGUGCCCUCUGAUUCAGACUUUGGAAUUCCUUUUUCAACUUCACCUUGGCUAUCACAUCGAUACCGGUAAGCAAACUUCUUUCUCAGAGCCUCUGCUAUGAGGGCAGCAGGGUCAGCAGCAUCCACCGGUUUGGGCUUCAUGUCUUGUGCUGACCUGAGAGAAAUGAACAUGAACCGAGGGGGCGCUGAUCCCUCCGGGAAGCACACGGGGAGCCUGGCGGCCCUUCCCUGGCAUCAAUACACGUGACAAAGACACUGACACAUACUGAUGCGGCGAAGUGGAAAACCUAGAUUUAAAGCUCAAUGAAAGAGCACAAAAGUGCCCAGUAACAGUCCCUCAGGUCCUCUCAGGAGCAGAGAUUAUGUGCUCCUUCAGGGCAAUUAGGGUUCCAUUCUUCUCCAAAAGCCUGGUGACUACCAUAGCAGGGACGCAUACAGCUUCACUGGAUGAAUGACUGCACAGUAACGAAAAGCCUUCAAAUGCAGUUGGGGGAGAAACUGGAAAGUUACCUGCAAGUGUUUAUUCUGCUAAUCUCUUAGGCUCCUGUACACAGUUAACUAUCUUUUUUAAACUACAAACUUAGAGCUACUCAUGUAGUCAUGUUAGAAAACAAGGUUCGCAAGAAACCUAGUACUUGGGAGAUCGGUUCAAGAUGGCACAGUAGAAGGACGUGCUCUCCCUCCUGCAAGAGCACCAGAAUCACAACUAACUGCUGAACAACCAUCGACAGGAAGACACUGGAACUCACCAAAAAAGACAGCCCACAUCCAAAGACAAAGGAGAAGCCACAAUGAGACAGUAAGAGGGGCACAAUCACAAUAAAAUCAAAUCCCAUAACUGCUGGUGGGUGACUCACAGACUGGAGAACACUUAUACCACAGCAGUCCACCCACUGGAGUAAAGGUUCUGAGCCCCACGUCAGGCUUCCCAACCCGGGGGUCCGGCAACAGGAGGAGGAAUUCCCAGAGAAUCAGACUUUGAAGGCUAGCGGGAUUUGAUUGUAGGACUUCGACAGGACUGGGGGAAACAGAGACUCCACUCUUGGAGAGCACACACAAAGUAGUGUGUGCACUGGGACCUAGGGGAAGGAGCAGUGACCCCAGGGGAGACUUAACCAGACCUACCUGCUAGUGUUGGAGGGUCUCCUGCAGAGGCAGAGGGUGGCUGUGGCUCACCGUGGGGACAAGGACACUGGCAGCAGAAGUUCUGGGAAGUACUCCUUGGUGUGAGCCCUCCCAGAGUCCACCAUUAGCCCAAAGAGCCCAGGUAGGCUCCAGUGUUGGGUCACCUCAGGCCAAACAACCAACAGGGAGGGAACCCAGCCCCACCCAUCAGCAGACAAGCAGAUUAAACUUUUACUGAGCUCUGCCCACCAGAGCAACAGCCAGCUCUACCCACCACCAGUCCCUCCCAUCAGGAAACUUGCACAAGUCUCUUAGAUAGCCUCAUCCACCAGAGGGCAGACAGCAGAAGCAAGAAGAACUACAAUCCUGCAGCCUGUGGAACAAAAACCACAUUCACAGAAAGACAAGAUGAAAGGGCAGACAGCUAUGUACCAGAUGAAGGAACAAGAUAAAACCCCAGAAACCAACUAAAUGAAGUGGAGAUAGGCAACCUUCCAGAAAAAGAUUUCAGAUUAAUGAUAGUGAAGAUGAUCUAGGACUUCGGGAAAAGAAUGGAGGCAAAGACUGAGAAGACACAAGAAAUGUUUAGCAAACACCUAGAAGAAUUAAAGAACAAACAGAGAGAUGAACAAUACAAUAACUGAAAAGAAAAAUACAGUAGAAGGAAUCAAUAGCAGAAUAACUGAGGCAGAAGAACGGAUAAGUGACCUGGAAGACA
Molecule: long non-coding RNA, 2036 nt
Organism: Orcinus orca (killer whale)
Lineage: Eukaryota; Metazoa; Chordata; Mammalia; Artiodactyla; Delphinidae
Exons: 2
Source: RefSeq, a predicted model, not a curated record